ACACAAAGUCUAAGCAGAGAGAGAGAGAUCUACCACAUCUGCGAGCAGCCUAGCUCUACCUAAAUACUAACUUUUGCUUGUCGUUUUUGGGCCCCAUAUAUAUAUACAUGGAUACCAAGGUUUUAUCCACCGGAUUUCGCUAAACGAGCUUGCCGCAAAGCUACAUCAGACCAGAAUCCGAGCGGCCUCGGCUGUCUGAAAUCUCUGCUUGUGAAGAUGUUCCCAUCAUCGACUUGGGUAUUGCAGAUAGAAGCAAAAUUGUCAAGCAAAUUGGCGAUGCCUGCAAAUAUUUUGGCUUUUUCCAGGUGAUCAAUUACGGCGUGUCACCGGAGGCAGUGCAGAAAAUGUUAGAGGUGGCUAUUGAGUUCUUUAGCCUGCCGGUGGAAGAGAAGUUGAAGGUCUAUUCGGAUGACCCUUCAAAAACAAUGAGACUUUCAACAAGUUUUAACGUGAAAAAA
Long non-coding RNA from Juglans regia (Persian walnut), 458 nucleotides. RefSeq lists it as uncharacterized. The record is from RefSeq and is a predicted model, not a curated record. The transcript has 2 exons. NCBI's taxonomy places the organism in Eukaryota, Viridiplantae, Streptophyta, Magnoliopsida, Fagales, Juglandaceae.